GAUCAUGGCUCAGGAUGAACGCUGGCGGCGUGCUUAACACAUGCAAGUCGAACGGAGUUUUAACGGAAGUUUCGGAUGGAAGUUUAAGAACUUAGUGGCGGACGGGUGAGUAACGCGUGGGUAACCUGCCUCAUACAGGGGGAUAACAGUUAGAAAUGACUGCUAAGACCGCAUAAUAUAGCGAAACCGCAUGAUUUUGCUAUCAAAUAUUUAUAGGUAUGAGAUGGGCCCGCGUCUGAUUAGCUAGUUGGUGGGGUAAAAGCCUACCAAGGCGACGAUCAGUAGCCGGCUUGAGAGAGUGACCGGCCACAUUGGGACUGAGACACGGCCCAAACUCCUACGGGAGGCAGCAGUGGGGAAUAUUGGACAAUGGGGGAAACCCUGAUCCAGCGAACCGCCGCGUGAGUGAAGAAGUAUUUCGGUAUGUAAAGCUCUAUCAGCAGGGAAGAUAAUGACAGUACCUGACUAAGAAGCCCCGGCUAACUACGUGCCAGCAGCCGC
RNAcentral lists this ribosomal RNA (501 nucleotides) under uncultured bacterium. RNAcentral's name for it is "bacterial SSU rRNA". It matches the Rfam family "Bacterial small subunit ribosomal RNA", at positions 15 to 518 of the family's 1533-position model. The record is from RNAcentral.